Molecule: non-coding RNA, 27 nt
Filed under: Rattus norvegicus (Norway rat)
Lineage: Eukaryota; Metazoa; Chordata; Mammalia; Rodentia; Muridae
Source: RNAcentral
UAAAAAUGUCUUCAGGUUCACUAAAUA